RNAcentral lists this microRNA precursor (83 nucleotides) under Pteropus vampyrus (large flying fox). RNAcentral describes it as "miRNA (ENSPVAG00000026569.1)". The record is from RNAcentral. Lineage: Eukaryota; Metazoa; Chordata; Mammalia; Chiroptera; Pteropodidae.
UAGGUAGGUGUGCCCACAUGUGUGUGCGCGCGCACACACACACACACACACACACACACACACACACACACACACACACACAU